GACGAACGCUGGCGGCGUGCUUAACACAUACAAGUCGAACGGAAAGGCCCUGCUCUUGUGGGGUGCUCGAUUGGCGAACGGGUGUGUAACACGCGAGUAACCUCCCCUUGACUUUGGGAUAACUUUAGGAAACUGGGGCUAAUACCGGAUAGGAGCUCCUGCUGCAUGGUGGGCGUUGGAAAGUUUCGGCGGUUGGGGAUGGACUCGCGGCUUAUCAGCUUGUUGGUGGGGUAGUGGCUUACCAAGGCUUUGACGGGUAGCCGGCCUGAGAGGGUGACCGGCGACAUUGGGACUGAGAUACGGCCCAGAAUCCUACGGGAGGCAGCAGUGGGGAAUAUUGCACAAUGGGCGGAAGCCUGAUGCAGCAGCGCCGCGUGCGGGAUGACGGCCUUCGGGUUGUAAACCGCUUUCGCCUGUGACGAAGCGUGAGUGACGGUAAUGAGUAAAGAAGCACCGGCUAACUACGUG
Molecule: ribosomal RNA, 468 nt
Filed under: uncultured bacterium
Lineage: Bacteria
Description: partial 16S ribosomal RNA
Rfam family: Bacterial small subunit ribosomal RNA
Source: RNAcentral